Molecule: ribosomal RNA, 440 nt
Filed under: uncultured Bacillota bacterium
Lineage: Bacteria; Bacillati; Bacillota
Description: bacterial SSU rRNA
Rfam family: Bacterial small subunit ribosomal RNA
Source: RNAcentral
GGGCCCGCACAAGCGGUGGAGUAUGUGGUUUAAUUCGACGCAACGCGAAGAACCUUACCAAGGCUUGACAUGGAAUUGAACGGCGCAGAAAUGUGUCUUUUCUUCGGAACAAUUCACACAGGUGGUGCAUGGUUGUCGUCAGCUCGUGUCGUGAGAUGUUGGGUUAAGUCCCGCAACGAGCGCAACCCUUGCCAUUAGUAGCCAUCAUUAAGUUGGGCACUCUAAUGGGACUGCCGCGGAUAACGCGGAGGAAGGCGGGGAUGACGUCAAAUCAUCAUGCCCCUUAUGUCUUGGGCUACACACGUACUACAAUGGAUGAGAACAAAGCGAAGCCAAGUGGCAACACUGAGCAAAUCGCAAAAAGCAUUCCCAGUUCGGAUCGUGGGCUGCAACCGCCCGCGUGAAGUUGGAAUCGCUAGUAAUCGCGGAUCAGCAUGCCG